AACCACCCUAUGGCCCCAUAACCACAGUCACCCCAUAACCACACUGUUGCCCUAUCGCCCCGUGCCCCAUAACCAAACUAUCUCUCUAUAACCACACUGUUGCCCCAUAGCCACCCUAUAACCACACUACUGCCCCAUAACCGCUAUAUCGCCCCAUACCCACCCCAUACCCAAAGAACCACCAAUACCCCAUUAUCACCCCACAUCCCAUAACCACAGUCACCCCAUAACCACAACACUAUCACCCCAUACCCACCCCAUACCCCACAACCCCUCCAUUACCCCAUUACCACCCCAUACCCCAUACCCACCUCAUACCCCAUUACCACCCCAUGACCGCACUAUCACCCCAUACCCCACAACCACCCCACAACCCCUCCAUUACCACCCCAUACCCCACAACACUAUCACCCCAUACCCACCCCAUACCCCACAACCACCCCAUACCCACCCCANNNNNNNNNNNNNNNNNNNNNNNNNCCCUCGGUCCGGUCCGGUUCGGUACCGUCAGGAUCUUUAUUGGGUUCGGGAGCGAACAGCCCGGACGGGACCCCCCCAAUAAACCCCAACCGGAACCGGGACCGGGACCUUGUCAUUAUGGGGGGGCACGGCUGAUAUGGGACGGAACCGGGCCAAGGCACGGGCGAUAUAGGGACGGAACCGGGACAAGGCACGGGCGAUAUAGGGACAGAACCGGGACAAGGCAUGGCCCAUUUGGGACCGGGACCGGGACCAAGCACGGCCUUUAUGGGGAUGGAACCGGGACAAAGCAUGGGCGAUAUAGGGACGGAACCGGGACAAGGCACGGCCUUUAUGGGGUCGGAACCGGGACAGGGCACAGCCCAUAUGGGGCCGGGGGUGGGGACAAGGCACGGCCGGUAUUUGGGGUCAGCGGGGGGGGGGGGAUACGGCCCAGCGCAGGGGAUGGCGGGGGAUGGGGGCGCUAUAGGGCCGGGGGGGUUGGUUUUCAGGUGGGGGGGGAAGCUUUAGGGUGGGGGGGGC
This 1002-nucleotide long non-coding RNA is filed under the name Coturnix japonica (Japanese quail). Its description in RNAcentral is "lncRNA (ENSCJPG00005001695.1)". Lineage: Eukaryota; Metazoa; Chordata; Aves; Galliformes; Phasianidae. The record is from RNAcentral.